GAUGAACGCUAGCUACAGGCUUAACACAUGCAAGUCGAGGGGCAGCAUGAAUUUACUUCGGUAAAUUUGAUGGCGACCGGCGCACGGGUGCGUAACGCGUAUCCAACCUUCCCGUUACUCCCGGGAUAGCCUUCCGAAAGGGAGAUUAAUACCGGAUGGUGUUUGAAGUCCGCAUGAAUUCAAACUAAAGAUUUAUCGGUAACGGAUGGGGAUGCGUACCAUUAGAUAGUAGGCGGGGUAACGGCCCACCUAGUCGACGAUGGUUAGGGGUUCUGAGAGGAAGGUCCCCCCACACUGGAACUGAGACACGGUCCAGACUCCUACGGGAGGCAGCAGUGAGGAAUAUUGGUCAAUGGUCGGAAGACUGAACCAGCCAAGUAGCGUGAAGGAUGACUGCCCUACGGGUUGUAAACUUCUUUGUUUGGGAAUAAAGACGCUACGUGUAAGCGUUCUGCAUGUACCUUACGAAUAAGCAUCCGGCUAAUUCCGUAGCCGAGCAGCCGCGG
This 506-nucleotide ribosomal RNA is filed under the name uncultured bacterium. RNAcentral describes it as "bacterial SSU rRNA". It matches the Rfam family "Bacterial small subunit ribosomal RNA", at positions 28 to 520 of the family's 1533-position model. The record is from RNAcentral.